RNAcentral lists this long non-coding RNA (564 nucleotides) under Vulpes vulpes (red fox). RNAcentral's name for it is "lncRNA (ENSVVUG00000020472.1)". Lineage: Eukaryota; Metazoa; Chordata; Mammalia; Carnivora; Canidae. The record is from RNAcentral.
CCCCCCCCCCCCCCCGCGGGCCCCCGCCUCCCGACGCUGCCCUGCGCCUGCGCGCUCGGGCUGAGGGCUGAGGCCGGGCCCACGGCCGCACCGGCGAGCAGGAGGCGCCUCCCCGAGUCCUCGGCGCGCAGGCCGCGGAGUCCACGACCCAGUCACGGAAGAAAGAAGUCGAGAGGCGCGUAUUUUUAGGUGAAUUUUCAGAAUUUUCUGGUGCUUGGAAGAUAGAUUUGAAAUUCCCUGAAUUUCAGAUCAAGGGAAUGAUGUGACCACUAGCUUCGUAAACAGUGAACACAUAACUGGGAGCUGAUGACCCGAGGAUGGCCAAAGAACUACUUUCUUUCUUGGAACUAACUAACCCCUCUAAGGGUGAGUUUUAAUGAAAACAAUUUUGACUUCUGCAGAUAGACCUCAACUUUGUAAGUAUACAAGAGGAUUUAGAACCUGAAAUGUUACUUUAAUGAAAUCAGUCCUAUAACCUAGUGAGCAGCCCUAUUUUAAAUAAUAACAACGAGACAUAGCCCACUUCAUUCCUCGACUAGCAACAUCUGGUAAACCCACUUAUCA